CCCGGCAACGGCGCCAAAAAUGCUUGUUGUCACUUGCUAACACCACUUGAAUACUAGGUUGUCAUCCCCAGCACGGCACUAGAGUGUACUAUGGUAUUUAUACGCACACAGAUAAUCCGCAAGUGCACGGAUACCGUUGAAGCUUUUACCCCGUUAACGGUUUUAUCGUAUUCACAGGGAAACAGGAGAACCGACUACGCUCUAACUUAACCAAGAUAGAUAGAUAGGUGUAAAUAGGAAAGAUGGUAGAAUCGAAUAAGAACAACAUUAAAGGUAAGAUAACAGUGAGUGAUAAUAUGGGAAUAGAGAAUAGAGCAAUUCUAGUAUAUGGG
RNAcentral lists this long non-coding RNA (332 nucleotides) under Sorghum bicolor (sorghum). Its description in RNAcentral is "long non-coding RNA (SBIC_LNC014178)". Lineage: Eukaryota; Viridiplantae; Streptophyta; Magnoliopsida; Poales; Poaceae. The record is from RNAcentral.